Molecule: ribosomal RNA, 253 nt
Filed under: uncultured bacterium
Lineage: Bacteria
Description: partial 16S ribosomal RNA
Rfam family: Bacterial small subunit ribosomal RNA
Source: RNAcentral
UACGGAGGGGGCUAGCGUUGUUCGGAAUUACUGGGUGUAAAGCGCGCGUAGGCGGCUUUGUAAGUUAGAGGUGAAAGCCCAGGGCUCAACCCUGGAAUUGCCUUUAAGACUGCAUCGCUUGAAUCCAGGAGAGGUGAGUGGAAUUCCGAGUGUAGAGGUGAAAUUCGUAGAUAUUCGGAAGAACACCAGUGGCGAAGGCGGCUCACUGGACUGGUAUUGACGCUGAUGUGCGAAAGCGUGGGGAGCAAACAGG